Rhopalosiphum padi (bird cherry-oat aphid) is the source of this 436-nucleotide long non-coding RNA. RefSeq lists it as uncharacterized. The record is from RefSeq and is a predicted model, not a curated record. The transcript is spliced from 3 exons. NCBI's taxonomy places the organism in Eukaryota, Metazoa, Arthropoda, Insecta, Hemiptera, Aphididae.
CCCCAUCGAAUCAUGUGAACCCUGGACAAAUAGAUUACUGCUAUUUAGUAUUUGUCCAUGUGUAAAACUGUGAACGAUAUUUGCAUAAUAAAACACGGACUAAUGAGAUAGAAUUACUAUAAUUUUCUAUCACAUUAUUUUAUGCCCAUGUUGUAUAGUGAAGACAUCAAUCUAUAAAUAAUUUCAAAAUUAGACUUGGGGUAAGCUAAAUGACGAAUGAUGAGCGUGCGUAUGCGGACGAUGCGUGGUGAUGAUUCGUUGGCAGAAAUUAAGUGUCCAGCUAGCGCUAAUAAGAUCUUUCACCAGCAGAAGCGAUAACUAUUGGUAAAAUUAAAAGUUGCUUGGUAAAUAAUGGACAAUUACAACUAAAACGAAAUAAUAAUUAUUAUUAUCAAGUUCAGGGGCAAUUACAUAUCAGUCGGAGAAUGUAUUGCUA